Molecule: non-coding RNA, 71 nt
Organism: Podarcis lilfordi (Lilford's wall lizard)
Lineage: Eukaryota; Metazoa; Chordata; Lepidosauria; Squamata; Lacertidae
Source: the annotation of a GenBank genome assembly
GUUCAUAGCUCACUCGGUAGAGCACGGAACUCUUAAUCUCAGAGUCAUGGGUUUGAGUCCCUUGUGGUGCA